This 1272-nucleotide ribosomal RNA is filed under the name Klebsiella quasipneumoniae. RNAcentral's name for it is "16S ribosomal RNA". It matches the Rfam family "Bacterial small subunit ribosomal RNA". The record is from RNAcentral. Lineage: Bacteria; Pseudomonadati; Pseudomonadota; Gammaproteobacteria; Enterobacterales; Enterobacteriaceae.
AGAGUUUGAUCAUGGCUCAGAUUGAACGCUGGCGGCAGGCCUAACACAUGCAAGUCGAGCGGUAGCACAGAGAGCUUGCUCUCGGGUGACGAGCGGCGGACGGGUGAGUAAUGUCUGGGAAACUGCCUGAUGGAGGGGGAUAACUACUGGAAACGGUAGCUAAUACCGCAUAACGUCGCAAGACCAAAGUGGGGGACCUUCAGGCCUCAUGCCAUCAGAUGUGCCCAGAUGGGAUUAGCUAGUAGGUGGGGUAACGGCUCACCUAGGCGACGAUCCCUAGCUGGUCUGAGAGGAUGACCAGCCACACUGGAACUGAGACACGGUCCAGACUCCUACGGGAGGCAGCAGUGGGGAAUAUUGCACAAUGGGCGCAAGCCUGAUGCAGCCAUGCCGCGUGUAUGAAGAAGGCCUUCGGGUUGUAAAGUACUUUCAGCGGGGAGGAAGGCGAUAAGGUUAAUAACCUUGUCGAUUGACGUUACCCGCAGAAGAAGCACCGGCUAACUCCGUGCCAGCAGCCGCGGUAAUACGGAGGGUGCAAGCGUUAAUCGGAAUUACUGGGCGUAAAGCGCACGCAGGCGGUCUGUCAAGUCGGAUGUGAAAUCCCCGGGCUCAACCUGGGAACUGCAUUCGAAACUGGCAGGCUAGAGUCUUGUAGAGGGGGGUAGAAUUCCAGGUGUAGCGGUGAAAUGCGUAGAGAUCUGGAGGAAUACCGGUGGCGAAGGCGGCCCCCUGGACAAAGACUGACGCUCAGGUGCGAAAGCGUGGGGAGCAAACAGGAUUAGAUACCCUGGUAGUCCACGCCGUAAACGAUGUCGAUUUGGAGGUUGUGCCCUUGAGGCGUGGCUUCCGGAGCUAACGCGUUAAAUCGACCGCCUGGGGAGUACGGCCGCAAGGUUAAAACUCAAAUGAAUUGACGGGGGCCCGCACAAGCGGUGGAGCAUGUGGUUUAAUUCGAUGCAACGCGAAGAACCUUACCUGGUCUUGACAUCCACAGAACUUNNNNNNNNNNNNNNNNNNNNNNNNNNNNNGUCGUAGUCCGGAUUGGAGUCUGCAACUCGACUCCAUGAAGUCGGAAUCGCUAGUAAUCGUAGAUCAGAAUGCUACGGUGAAUACGUUCCCGGGCCUUGUACACACCGCCCGUCACACCAUGGGAGUGGGUUGCAAAAGAAGUAGGUAGCUUAACCUUCGGGAGGGCGCUUACCACUUUGUGAUUCAUGACUGGGGUGAAGUCGUAACAAGGUAACCGUAGGGGAACCUGCGGUUGGAUCACCU